GAGAUAUUAGUAAAAUUAUUACAUAACUUUGUCAAAGUUAAGUUAUAGGUUAAACCUAUAUAUCUUA
Molecule: transfer RNA, 67 nt
Filed under: Hylomyscus arcimontensis (Arc Mountain wood mouse)
Lineage: Eukaryota; Metazoa; Chordata; Mammalia; Rodentia; Muridae
Description: tRNA-Asp
Rfam family: tRNA
About the family: Transfer RNA (tRNA) molecules are approximately 80 nucleotides in length. Their secondary structure includes four short double-helical elements and three loops (D, anti-codon, and T loops). Further hydrogen bonds mediate the characteristic L-shaped molecular structure. tRNAs have two regions of fundamental functional importance: the anti-codon, which is responsible for specific mRNA codon recognition, and the 3' end, to which the tRNAs corresponding amino acid is attached (by aminoacyl-tRNA synthetases). tRNAs cope with the degeneracy of the genetic code in two manners: having more than one tRNA (with a specific anti-codon) for a particular amino acid; and 'wobble' base-pairing, i.e. permitting non-standard base-pairing at the 3rd anti-codon position.
Source: RNAcentral